This 550-nucleotide ribosomal RNA is filed under the name uncultured bacterium. Its description in RNAcentral is "bacterial SSU rRNA". It matches the Rfam family "Bacterial small subunit ribosomal RNA", at positions 355 to 896 of the family's 1533-position model. The record is from RNAcentral.
UAGGGAAUCUUCGGCAAUGGACGGAAGUCUGACCGAGCAACGCCGCGUGAGUGAAGAAGGUUUUCGGAUCGUAAAGCUCUGUUGUAAGAGAAGAACGAGUGUGAGAGUGGAAAGUUCACACUGUGACGGUAUCUUACCAGAAAGGGACGGCUAACUACGUGCCAGCAGCCGCGGUAAUACGUAGGUCCCGAGCGUUGUCCGGAUUUAUUGGGCGUAAAGCGAGCGCAGGCGGUUAGAUAAGUCUGAAGUUAAAGGCUGUGGCUUAACCAUAGUACGCUUUGGAAACUGUUUAACUUGAGUGCAAGAGGGGAGAGUGGAAUUCCAUGUGUAGCGGUGAAAUACGUAGAUAUAUGGAGGAACACCGGUGGCGAAAGCGGCUCUCUGGCUUGUAACUGACGCUGAGGCUCGAAAGCGUGGGGAGCAAACAGGAUUAGAUACCCUGGUAGUCCACGCCGUAAACGAUGAGUGCUAGGUGUUAGACCCUUUCCGGGGUUUAGUGCCGUAGCUAACGCAUUAAGCACUCCGCCUGGGGAGUACGACCGCAAGGUUG